This 309-nucleotide long non-coding RNA is filed under the name Melopsittacus undulatus (budgerigar). RNAcentral's name for it is "lncRNA (ENSMUNG00000018020.1)". The record is from RNAcentral. Lineage: Eukaryota; Metazoa; Chordata; Aves; Psittaciformes; Psittaculidae.
AGCAGUAGAAUUUACAUUUUUCAGAUAAGAAAUCACAAGCAUUUCUUCCAUGGGUCAGAAACAUCCCUGUGAUUGUCUGGCUAGACAUACGAAUUGUUUUUAUGCAAGACCUGCCUGGACUUUCUACCUCAAAGCCUCAAACUGCCAAAUAAGAUACAUUAACUUUCCUUUCAGAUAGCUGAAGGUAAGAUCAGUUAAUGUGCCAGCUCCCUCCCCUAUGAGUUUUUAAACUAAUCUCAGAUUUAUUUGGGCACACAGCAGCUGUGGUAGCUUGGGAUUCAUGAUUUGCUGUAUACACCCCUAAAAUUC